UCUGGCUGGUGGGUUAGGUGGCUCG
This 25-nucleotide unclassified non-coding RNA is filed under the name Mus musculus (house mouse). RNAcentral describes it as "oocyte_clustered_small_RNA8514". Lineage: Eukaryota; Metazoa; Chordata; Mammalia; Rodentia; Muridae. The record is from RNAcentral.